RNAcentral lists this ribosomal RNA (273 nucleotides) under uncultured prokaryote. RNAcentral describes it as "partial 16S ribosomal RNA". It matches the Rfam family "Bacterial small subunit ribosomal RNA", at positions 524 to 796 of the family's 1533-position model. The record is from RNAcentral.
UACGGAGGGUGCAAGCGUUGUUCGGAAUUAUUGGGCGUAAAGGGCGCGUAGGUGGUUGUGAUAGUCAGAUGUGAAAUCCUUCGGCUCAACCGAAGAACUGCAUCUGAAACUUCAUAGCUCGAGUACAGGAGAGGGAAACGGAAUUCCCGGUGUAGAGGUGAAAUUCGUAGAUAUCGGGAGGAACACCAGUGGCGAAGGCGGUUUCCUGGCCUGAUACUGACGCUGAGGCGCGAAAGCGUGGGGAGCAAACAGGAUUAGAAACCCUAGUAGUCC